UACAGAGGGUGCAAGCGUUAAUCGGAAUUACUGGGCGUAAAGCGCACGUAGGUGGAUAUUUAAGUCGGAAGUGAAAGCCCUGGGCUUAACCUGGGAAUUGCCUCCGAUACUGGCUAUCUAGAAUAUGGUAGAGGGUAGUGGAAUUUCCGGUGUAGCGGUGAAAUGCGUAGAUAUCGGAAGGAACACCAGUGGCGAAAGCGGCUACCUGGACCAAUAUUGACACUUAGGUGCGAAAGCGUGGGGAGCAAACAGG
RNAcentral lists this ribosomal RNA (253 nucleotides) under uncultured bacterium. RNAcentral's name for it is "partial 16S ribosomal RNA". It matches the Rfam family "Bacterial small subunit ribosomal RNA", at positions 524 to 776 of the family's 1533-position model. The record is from RNAcentral.